AUUGAACGCUGGCGGCAUGCCUUACACAUGCAAGUCGAACGGUAACAGGUUAAGCUGACGAGUGGCGAACGGGUGAGUAAUACAUCGGAACGUGCCCAGUAGUGGGGGAUAGCCCGGCGAAAGCCGGAUUAAUACCGCAUACGACCUAAGGGUGAAAGGGGGGGAUCGCAAGACCUCUCGCUAUUGGAGCGGCCGAUGUCAGAUUAGGUAGUUGGUGGGGUAAAGGCCCACCAAGCCGACGAUCUGUAGCUGGUCUGAGAGGACGACCAGCCACACUGGGACUGGGACACGGCUCAGACUCCUACGGGGGGCAGCGAUGGGGAAUUUUGGAAAGGGGGCGCAAGCCUGGUCCAGCCAUGCCGCGUGCGGGAAGAAGGCCUUCGGGUUGUAAACCGCUUUUGUCAGGGAAGAAAUCCUUUGGGUUAAUACCUCGGGGGGAUGACGGUACCUGAAGAAUAAGCACCGGCUAACUACGUGCCAGCAGCCGCCGUAA
RNAcentral lists this ribosomal RNA (493 nucleotides) under uncultured bacterium. RNAcentral's name for it is "partial 16S ribosomal RNA". It matches the Rfam family "Bacterial small subunit ribosomal RNA", at positions 29 to 523 of the family's 1533-position model. The record is from RNAcentral.